Cygnus olor (mute swan) is the source of this 2024-nucleotide long non-coding RNA. RefSeq lists it as uncharacterized. The record is from RefSeq and is a predicted model, not a curated record. NCBI's taxonomy places the organism in Eukaryota, Metazoa, Chordata, Aves, Anseriformes, Anatidae. The transcript is spliced from 2 exons.
AUCCAUAUCAUGUCAACCCCUAUUCUGUGGAUCUUGGAUGCUUUUUAAAAGGCAGCCCGGAGGCAGGAAGUCCUAUUGGUAUGUUACCAUUUCGGUGCUAAUGGAUGAUCUGUCUGAAAAGAACAAAGCUGCUGCUUUGGUUUUGGUCUCGAGACUGACCACAAAUGUUCAUGUCCCAAGCCUGCUGGAUUUUAUUUGACUGCUUUAGUAACAAAAAUACUUUUAUUACAGCAAUGCCAAGAAGCCAGACUGAAACCAUACUGUACUCAAGACACUGCACUGAGAGAAGAGCACAAAAAGGCAGAAAAAGAGAGAGAGCCACUAACAAAGUGAUGUUUUUCUGGGCCUCACCUCGCUUAACAACCUGCCUUCUUUAUUCUUCUGCCUCCAUGGGAAGAACGGACAAUCAAGAUUUCUAUAGGAUGAAGGAAGUUGAGAAAAGCUUUCAACUGGGAGUGGGGAAAAGAGAAAGCGACAAAGCCCACUUAGCUAAGAGGGCUGCAGACAGAAGGAGUUUGGAAAGCCCCAUAUGCUCUCCCCUCUCCCCUUUCUGUAGCUCCAUCUGUCCCACACCCUCCCUUCUGCAGCGAGGCCAUGCCAAUGUCAUUUUGGGGCUGGAGCAGGGCAGACAUCCCCAGAGCUGCACAAGAGCAGAGGGACACUAAACGAUGCUAAGGAGAAUGUGAGCAGGGGUAUUCUGGAGUUGGGGAAAUGGAAAAAGAUCCACACUAUCAGGAAGAUUUUGGGGUGAAUCUCUGUAAGAUGAUCUUGUCUGGGAAAUUCUGGCAGUAUAACCCCAGGCAUUUUAUGCUUUACAUUUCAGAGAGCUGGCAAGAGGAAAAGCCCUGCAGCGUGUGUGUGCCUGUGGCAAUUUCAAAAGUCAAGUGGUCAGCUCAAACGGAGCUCACAGCUUUUGGGCCCCUCAUCAAAUCAGUGUGGGAGGUCUGAUGGAGGGAUCUGACAUGUGGCUGUGCUCCCAGGUCGCCUCUCAGAGCGCCCACUUGUACAGUCGCCCAUAUGUUACGCCCAGACUGCACUGAGAUGGAUGUACUCGGGCGUGGGGAUCAGGCUUCUGCCUGAACACAGCAGGUAGCAGGGGUACCUCUACCUGCCACAACACUGGCUAUAAGCAACUUCGUAAUUUCAGACUUUGAGCACUAGAAAAAGCACAAUAAGCUCUUAUUCCUUAUGUAAGAAUUUUUGAAAAAGCAUUUUAAGCAACAAGGCAAAUUUGAUAGAAGUUUGAUGGAGACAUCUUUUCCCAAACCCGUAGAGCCCUCCAUAGCAAUCGGAACGGGAUAUUCCUCUGUGUUCUCAUUGCUUUGGACAACGCUGGGCAGGGCAUCUGCCGAGCAGUUUCCUACACAGCACCCUUGUCUCCAUGGGGGACAAGCACCAGGGGCAGCUAACAAUGCAGGGAGAAGAUCUGAAGGAGGUCAGCAGGACACCGCAGGAUUACAUUAUUAUGCCAGCUCAGUCAUUCAGCUGAACACAUGUUAAAUUCAGCAGCUGGCUUGUGGCCAACCUUCUCUUUCUCCUCAAGUCUGAAUAGCCACCAGCGGGCUCACACACGGUCACCCCUGCACCAGACAGGCUGGCUGGUGCUGUCUGUGCGUGCUGCUGGGGCUUCCUCUGCACUGCACAGCCCUCACCUCACGGUGACAUCUGCUGAGGAGCAGGGUGGGCAGCUCCCGAGGGGGCUGCUCCUGCACUCUCCUACAUGAGAACAGGAGGUUUUCCUCCGACUACACUGGAGAGGGGAUCGGGCCCCCCUUGCUGAACAAGCGCCUACCAAUUAGUGACACUUGCUGAUCCUAUCUGUGGAGAAUCAUUAUGAAAAAUGCAAAGCAUUAUGCAGCCACUAUUAAUCUUCUGCCUUUGUUGCAUUUGCUCAUGGUUUAUGGCCCUCCAAGGAGGAUAAAUGAUCAAGGCAUGUACUCACAUUGUUAUUUGCCUAUUUGUCUGUGCAACAAUACACGUGCUCAGCACUAAGUAGAAGUUAUUUUUCAUAGGGAAUGCAGCUU